GGGAAAACUAUCUGAUCUCUAGAAAGCUCCAGCUCUACUUUUCUUUUGGAAACACUUUCACUGUAGAGUAUCAAAGUCUCUGUCUUAUUACUUAUAUGAAGAAUAAGAGCAAAGUGAAUUUUGGAAUGAAACUAAAUUUCAUACCAUGUGAACUCAUGCUGGAAUAAGAGCUCACAUAAUCAUUCCCUUUUCCAAGAGUUCUGUUGGUUCUGCUCUGUCAUUUUUCAGAAGGGAGAAACAACAAUAAAUGGUGCCUACUUCUACAUGCAGACCGCAUUUUACAACAACAGCUCCUGUGGGCUAAUUGCAUUGGAGGGUCUGAAGUAAUUCAAGUAUUACUGGGAGCACGGUGGGUGAAGAGCGUCGUAUUUCACAGCUGAGAAGGAAUAAAUUGACUCUAGGCUUGAGCCUUGAGGGUGGAAAACCAGGAGAAGCACACAGCAGCCAUUCCACUACAAACACCCUGUGACUGUAUUCUUUGGCAUGUGGAGCAUUGGAUGCCUUCACCUUACUCCAUAAGUGGUGGGGGCUGGAGACAGGAGGCUGUAUUCACAAGGAUCUGCUGACUUGGAUGAGCCCUUCUUCAGUGACUGAAAAGCCGCUAUCAGGUCUCCC
Molecule: long non-coding RNA, 615 nt
Filed under: Gallus gallus (chicken)
Lineage: Eukaryota; Metazoa; Chordata; Aves; Galliformes; Phasianidae
Description: lncRNA (ENSGALG00010013990.1)
Source: RNAcentral